GGGGUGGAUGAUAACAUUGGCAAGAGUAGGAAGAUCCUGACUGCAAUGUCCAAAAGAAUGGACAAGAACAAGUGGAUCAUUGGUGGAAUCAUUCUCGCUCUGGUGCUUGCAAUUCUACUGAUCCUCUACUUCAAGCUUGCCCGCUGAUUGGUAUUCAUGGGAAAACGUUCCUCUUGUAUGUUUGGGUGUGGGUGCAGAUCUGGUGUACAUGUUUUCUUUUCUUCUCCGGAGUGAUGAGCUGUGUGUAAUAAAAUUCUUUAACUUGUUACUGAAAUAUUUU
This 280-nucleotide unclassified non-coding RNA is filed under the name Hevea brasiliensis (rubber tree). The record is from RNAcentral. Lineage: Eukaryota; Viridiplantae; Streptophyta; Magnoliopsida; Malpighiales; Euphorbiaceae.